GUUCCUAACUUAAAGCUAUCAUUACCACUCUAUCCACCAUGUGAUACAAAAGAAUGGUCCAAGCUCUAUGUUCCUCUUCAUGAUAGAACAGAGGGAGAGAGAGAAACAGCUAUGCUAUGCUUAGAAGCUGCAGUUCAAUUAAUCUCAUUCCACAAUUAUCUCAACAUACAGUGGCUUGACUUGGGAUCUUAUACGACACCGUAACACAAUGGAAGCAUCAAGGUUUAGUGUCUAUUUUGUUAGUGGGAAUUUAUACACUGACAACACCAGACAUCCAUGGAACAACAACUGGUGCAUUUGGGUGUGCCUUUCUGAAUGUCUCAGAAUAUCGGUCCUUAAAACUUGAUUUAGCUUUCUCUGCAUAUUUCAGCCAGCAUUCUUGAUUUUUGUGUUGAUAAAUAUCCGGAGAAUAGCAUCCGGUCUCAGAUGGGCAAUAAACCCAUAUGUUGCAUUUCUUGUCAUUAGGUCCAGCGUUCUUAGCUUGAUUCAAACAGCCAUGCAACACUCAUAUG
RNAcentral lists this unclassified non-coding RNA (512 nucleotides) under Hevea brasiliensis (rubber tree). Lineage: Eukaryota; Viridiplantae; Streptophyta; Magnoliopsida; Malpighiales; Euphorbiaceae. The record is from RNAcentral.